GAUGAACGCUGGCGGUAUGCUUAACACAUGCAAGUCGAACGGUCUCUUCGGAGAUAGUGGCGGACGGGUGAGUAACGCGUGAGAAUCUGGCUCCAGGUCUGGGACAACCACUGGAAACGGUGGCUAAUACCGGGUGUGCCGAAAGGUGAAAGGUUAACUGCCUGGAGAUGAGCUCGCGUCUGAUUAGCUAGUUGGUAGGGUAAGAGCUUACCAAGGCGACGAUCAGUAGCUGGUCUGAGAGGACGAUCAGCCACACUGGGACUGAGACAC
Molecule: ribosomal RNA, 270 nt
Filed under: Rhizonema sp. 'cyanobiont of Dictyonema sp.'
Lineage: Bacteria; Bacillati; Cyanobacteriota; Cyanophyceae; Nostocales; Rhizonemataceae
Description: partial 16S ribosomal RNA
Rfam family: Bacterial small subunit ribosomal RNA
Source: RNAcentral